Molecule: transfer RNA, 73 nt
Filed under: Dermacentor silvarum
Lineage: Eukaryota; Metazoa; Arthropoda; Arachnida; Ixodida; Ixodidae
Description: transfer RNA tyrosine (anticodon GUA)
Rfam family: tRNA
About the family: Transfer RNA (tRNA) molecules are approximately 80 nucleotides in length.
Source: RNAcentral
CCGUCGAUAGCUCAGUUGGUAGAGCGGUGGACGGUAGAUCCAUAGGUCGCUGGUUCGAAUCCGGCUCGACGGA